RNAcentral lists this ribosomal RNA (468 nucleotides) under uncultured bacterium. RNAcentral describes it as "partial 16S ribosomal RNA". It matches the Rfam family "Bacterial small subunit ribosomal RNA", at positions 28 to 507 of the family's 1533-position model. The record is from RNAcentral.
GAUGAACGCUGGCGGCGUGCUUAACACAUGCAAGUCGAACGGAAAGGCCCAAGCUUGCUUGGGUACUCGAGUGGCGAACGGGUGAGUAACACGUGGGUGAUCUGCCCUGCACUUCGGGAUAAGCCUGGGAAACUGGGUCUAAUACCGGAUAGGACCACUUCUUGGAUGUUGUGGUGGAAAGUUUUUCGGUGUGGGAUGAGCUCGCGGCCUAUCAGCUUGUUGGUGGGGUAAUGGCCUACCAAGGCGUCGACGGGUAGCCGGCCUGAGAGGGUGUACGGCCACAUUGGGACUGAGAUACGGCCCAGACUCCUACGGGAGGCAGCAGUGGGGAAUAUUGCACAAUGGGCGCAAGCCUGAUGCAGCGACGCCGCGUGGGGGAUGACGGCCUUCGGGUUGUAAACUCCUUUCGCGAGGGACGAAGCUUAUUUUGUGACGGUACCUGGAGAAGAAGCACCGGCUAACUACGUG